Molecule: long non-coding RNA, 3461 nt
Filed under: Olea europaea (common olive)
Lineage: Eukaryota; Viridiplantae; Streptophyta; Magnoliopsida; Lamiales; Oleaceae
Description: long non-coding RNA (OEUR_LNC000410)
Source: RNAcentral
CAUUGAAUAAUAUUUGAACUUCUUUUUCUUAUUGCCAAAUGUGCCAUUAGAGUUAUUAUUACAUAAAUAAUAAACAAAAAUGACAAUAUUUUGGGAAAUGUUAUACAAGUAAUAUGAUGACUUCUUAAUUUUUUUCCCUAUUCAAAAAUCAGAUCACACAGUGGGUGCUAAAGAAAUUUGACCCCAGUUUCUAAAAUCCCAGUUUACUACCUUUUCAAUUUUCUGUGUAGCUACAUGUACACGAAAUCAAUCUCUAACAAAACCAUGAUUCUGAGAGUGGAAUGGGUACUCCCUGUGAAACACUUUUACACCAUCAAUUGGUGAACUCAUGUUUCUAAUUCCUCCUCGCUUGCAGAUAAACAUGGCUGGUCGAGUUUCUGCAUCACAAGAGUCAACAUUUACUUCAAGUCGGAGAUACUCAAGUCCAUAUAAUAAAAAUUAACUACCAGGGAUGUGGCUUCAUGAGGUGCGAAAUAGUAUAUAGUAAUUUGUUGAAUGGGGACAUGUACAUCCCACACAAUAAGCUAAACUAGAUAGAACACAGCAUUAGAGCAGCAGAAUCACUAAGAGAACUUGAGAAAAUGAGACUGUUGACUAAAUGGGACAACCACACAAAUGACAUACAAUCACAUGAUGAGAAGAAAGUUUUCGUGGUUCAGUCUGUGUACCAGACAAUUUACUAAUAACUGUCACACACUAAGUCAUAAAUCACACGAGGUCACAACCAUAUACUGUACAAUUUAUGAGUCACAAUUAUAUUUAAGUCAAACGCGACCUCUAAUAAAUAUUGUGAUUUAUAAUAGAAAUUAAAAGGGACACUAUCACAUACUAAACAAUUUAUUGAUCACAGUCACGCACUAAUUCACAAUUCACAAAAAGUUACAGUCAUAUACCAUCCAAUUUAUGAAUCACGAUUACAUAUUAAAUCAUAAAUCUCAGUUAUUAAGUUAUUAAUUGUUUAUUAAUCACAAAUCAUGCAAAUCACUGGUCACAAUCACUAAUUUAAUUAUUUUAAUGGUCACACUCCCAUAAUAAAUUAUAAAUUACACAAUUAAUGGGUCACAAAUAAUUUAAUGAUCAAGUAUGCCGAAGGGGUCCAUCUUCAGUAGGUUAAUCCCCUCAUCUAUCUAUAAAUACUAAUACUUUGAAUUAUUUAUUUAUUUAUUAAAACGAUUGUGCAAGGUACUGCCUAUUUUUAAUUUGGAGUAAUUUACCAACAAAUCUAAAACAAUAAUAUUGAAGUUUUUGCAUCAUUUGCUAGUCCAGAAUAUCUCUAAGAGACUAUUUACUUUUUAAGAAAUAACUUGACUGUGAUAAAAAAGCAUUUUUAAAUUUGAAAAGUAAAUUUUUACUUUGAUUUUUUAUGAAAUGUCUUUUAGUAAUUUUAAAGGUUUAAAAAUAAAAACCUGCGACAUCACACCAGUGUGUCAUGUGACUAUGAUAAUAACUUUUGUUACAGUGUGAAUAGUAUUAUGUGCCUCUCUACUCUGAUUGUAUGAUACGAUUGUAUAUGUAUAGGAUGUGAUAACUACGGCUCGAUAAUAUUUAUAAAAAGUGCUCCGAUAAAUAGCACGUGUGAAUUAUGUAUCGUGAUUGUAGUAAACUAUUUUUGAUUCAUUUAUUUUAGUUUUUCGAAAGUACAUGAGUAGUAGAAAUGGAAGCGAGACAUUUUUUCAAACAUGAAUCCCAUUUUAACACUAUUCCUAAGAAAAGAAUUUGAUCUUUAUCUCGGAUGAUCUUUCUUUAUUCUUAACGUUGAUAAAAAAUUUCGAUUUUUAUUUAUAUAGUUAAAAUGCAUAUACCUAUCCCAAUAAUCUAUAAUGAAAUAUGAAAAGCUCCCUAUUCAGUUGCCCCAAUUCUCUAUUCAAAACAUAUAAAAAAGGAUAUUAAUAUUUUUAAAAUUAUAUUUCAAAUGAUAAAAUCGGUUUAAAAAAUUAUCACAAUAAUCAGGAUUUUGAUUAGAAUAAAAACAAAAACAAAAACAAAUGUUUAAAAUUAAAAAUACCUUAGUUAUGCAUAUAAUAAAUUUAUAACUGAUUUUUUUAUUAUAAGAAGUUAGAAACUUAACCCCCAUUUAUUAAAAUUCAUUUUUCCCAUUUUCAUUUAUGAUUACUCAUUUAAGAGAUCCACGACUUUUAAACCACACAUUUCAAGAAUUUUUAUCAAAAUCUAUUAGAAGUCUAAUUUUAUCCAAACUAAAUAGGGGCUUAAUUUUAUCUUUUAUAAGACUUUGGAGAAUUACAAUAAAUACGCAUUUCCAUGAUUAAUUAAAAAUAAACUCUAGGCAUAAAUUUUUUUUUUUGUCAAAUAGAACCUAAAAAUGUUGCAAAGUCCAACCCAACCAAUCCCGUUAUCCAUCCUAGAAAUUUCAACCAUGUUCCACUACAUAGAUAUUGAGCAGUACAUGUUAGAGUUACCAUAUGGGUUAACAGCCUUGGCCUAUCCAUGUGCUCUCCACCUUGACUCCUGGGAGGUACAUCCUGCGAUUUACCUCCUCCACGAUAGCCCAGAGCAAGGUCAGUGGGAGCCCUUAAGGUUGGGGUUCAACCUUUUUUUAAUUAAGGAACAUGUUGCAGUCCAAGUUAAUACUCCGGAAAUCAUUGAAUAAUAUUUGAACUUCUUUUUCUUAUUGCCAAAUGUGCCAUUAGAGUUAUUAUUACAUAAAUAAUAAACAAAAAUGACAAUAUUUUGGGAAAUGUUAUACAAGUAAUAUGAUGACUUCUUAAUUUUUUUCCCUAUUCAAAAAUCAGAUCACACAGUGGGUGCUAAAGAAAUUUGACCCCAGUUUCUAAAAUCCCAGUUUACUACCUUUUCAAUUUUCUGUGUAUCUACAUGUACACGAAAUCAAUCCCUAACAAAACCAUGAUUCUGAGAGUGGAAUGGGUACUCCCUGUGAAACACUUUUACACCAUCAAUUGGUGAACUCAUGUUUCUAAUUCCUCCUCGCUUGCAGAUAAACAUGGCUGGUCGAGUUUCUGCAUCACAAGAGUCAACAUUUACUUCAAGUCGGAGAUACUCAAGUCCAUAUAAUAAAAAUUAACUACCAGGGAUGUGGCUUCAUGAGGUGCGAAAUAGUAUAUAGUAAUUUGUUGAAUGGGGACAUGUACAUCCCACACAAUAAGCUAAACUAGAUAGAACACAGCAUUAGAGCAGCAGAAUCACUAAGAGAACUUGAGAAAAUGAGACUGUUGACUAAAUGGGACAACCACACAAAUGACAUACAAUCACAUGAUGAGAAGAAAGUUUUCGUGGUUCAGUCAAUAGAUGAGAGUUUAUGGCAAAGAGGAGCAAAUCCCAUUAUUAAUGUAAAAAUAGAAAUUUUUAACUCUCUUGGUCACCAAUCCUAAGAAGCUCAUUUCCUCCCUCCAAAGCCAUGCAAUUCCAAACUCCGAAGUGAGCCAAAAAUACGAGACAUCGCAACAUCUUGUGCCAUACAAAUAAAAUACACACGACUGUUGAUA